CAGCAGCCACGGGAAUACGGAGGGUGCAAGCGUUAAUCGGAAUUACUGGGCGUAAAGCGCACGCAGGCGGUUUGUUAAGUCAGAUGUGAAACCCCCGAGCUUAACUUGGGAACUGCAUUUGAAACUGGCAAGCUAGAGUCUUGUAGAGGGGGGUAGAAUUCCAGGUGUAGCGGUGAAAUGCGUAGAGAUCUGGAGGAAUACCGGUGGCGAAGGCGGCCCCCUGGACAAAGACUGACGCUCAGGUGCGAAAGCGUGGGGAGCAAACAGGAUUAGAUACCCCUGUAGUCCCUGUCUCUUAUAC
RNAcentral lists this ribosomal RNA (301 nucleotides) under uncultured bacterium. RNAcentral describes it as "partial 16S ribosomal RNA". It matches the Rfam family "Bacterial small subunit ribosomal RNA", at positions 509 to 807 of the family's 1533-position model. The record is from RNAcentral.